GAUGAACUCCAGCUUGCUGGGGGGAUUAGUGGCGAACGGGUGAGUAACACGUGAGUAACCUGCCCUUAACUCUGGGAUAAGCCUGGGAAACUGGGUCUAAUACUGGAUAUUGACUUUUCCUCGCAUGGGGUUUGGUUGAAAGCUUUAGUGGUUUUGGAUGGACUCGCGGCCUAUCAGCUUGUUGGUGAGGUAAUGGCUCACCAAGGCGACGACGGGUAGCCGGCCUGAGAGGGUGACCGGCCACACUGGGACUGAGACACGGCCCAGACUCCUACGGGAGGCAGCAGUGGGGAAUAUUGCACAAUGGGCGAAAGCCUGAUGCAGCGACGCCGCGUGAGGGAUGACGGCCUUCGGGUUGUAAACCUCUUUCAGUAGGGAACAAGGCCACACGUUGUGUGGUUGAGGGUACUUGCAGAAGAAGCACCGGCUAACUACGUGCCAGCAGCCGCGGUAAUACGUAGGGUGCAAGCGUUAUCCGGAAUUAUUGGGCGUAAAGAGCUCGUAGGCGGUUUGUCGCGUCUGCCGUGAAAGUCCGGGGCUCAACCCCGGAUCUGCGGUGGGUACGGGCAGACUAGAGUGAUGUAGGGGAGACUGGAAUUCCUGGUGUAGCGGUGAAAUGCGCAGAUAUCAGGAGGAACACCGAUGGCGAAGGCAGGUCUCUGGGCAUUAACUGACGCUGAGGAGCGAAAGCAUGGGGAGCGAACAGGAUUAGAUACCCUGGUAGUCCAUGCCGUAAACGUUGGGCACUAGGUGUGGGGGACAUUCCACGUUUUCCGCGCCGUAGCUAACGCAUUAAGUGCCCCGCCUGGGGAGUACGGCCGCAAGGCUAAAACUCAAAGGAAUUGACGGGGGCCCGCACAAGCGGCGGAGCAUGCGGAUUAAUUCGAUGCAACGCGAAGAACCUUACCAAGGCUUGACAUAAACUGGAAACGCUUGGAAACAAGUGCCCCGCUUGCGGUCGGUUUACAGGUGGUGCAUGGUUGUCGUCAGCUCGUGUCGUGAGAUGUUGGGUUAAGUCCCGCAACGAGCGCAACCCUCGUUCUAUGUUGCCAGCACGUAAUGGUGGGGACUCAUAGGAGACUGCCGGGGUCAACUCGGAGGAAGGUGAGGACGACGUCAAAUCAUCAUGCCCCUUAUGUCUUGGG
RNAcentral lists this ribosomal RNA (1145 nucleotides) under Arthrobacter sp. 4-20. Its description in RNAcentral is "bacterial SSU rRNA". It matches the Rfam family "Bacterial small subunit ribosomal RNA", at positions 68 to 1213 of the family's 1533-position model. Lineage: Bacteria; Bacillati; Actinomycetota; Actinomycetes; Micrococcales; Micrococcaceae. The record is from RNAcentral.